AUGAACCGGCGAGUUACGAUUUGAUGCAAGGUUAAGCAGUAAAUGUGGAGCCGUAGCGAAAGCGAGUCUGAAUAGGGCGUUUAGUAUUUGGUCGUAGACCCGAAACCAGGUGAUCUACCCUUGGUCAGGUUGAAGUUCAGGUAACACUGAAUGGAGGACCGAACCGACUUACGUUGAAAAGUGAGCGGAUGAACUGAGGGUAGCGGAGAAAUUCCAAUCGAACCUGGAGAUAGCUGGUUCUCUCCGAAAUAGCUUUAGGGCUAGCCUCAAGUGAUGAUUAUUGGAGGUAGAGCACUGUUUGGACGAGGGGCCCCUCUCGGGUUACCGAAUUCAGACAAACUCCGAAUGCCAAUUAAUUUAACUUGGGAGUCAGAACAUGGGUGAUAAGGUCCGUGUUCGAAAGGGAAACAGCCCAGACCACCAGCUAAGGUCCCAAAAUAUAUGUUAAGUGGAAAAGGAUGUGGCGUUGCCCAGACAACUAGGAUGUUGGCUUAGAAGCAGCCAUCAUUUAAAGAGUGCGUAAUAGCUCACUAGUCGAGUGACACUGCGCCGAAAAUGUACCGGGGCUAAACAUAUUACCGAAGCUGUGGAUUGUCCUUUGGACAAUGGUAGGAGAGCGUU
RNAcentral lists this ribosomal RNA (621 nucleotides) under Staphylococcus aureus. RNAcentral describes it as "partial 23S ribosomal RNA". It matches the Rfam family "Bacterial large subunit ribosomal RNA", at positions 615 to 1240 of the family's 2925-position model. Lineage: Bacteria; Bacillati; Bacillota; Bacilli; Caryophanales; Staphylococcaceae. The record is from RNAcentral.